This is a long non-coding RNA of Hyla sarda, 440 nucleotides long. RefSeq lists it as uncharacterized. NCBI's taxonomy places the organism in Eukaryota, Metazoa, Chordata, Amphibia, Anura, Hylidae. The transcript is spliced from 2 exons. The record is from RefSeq and is a predicted model, not a curated record.
GGCUGAUGCUGGACACUGUAGGGACCGAGAAUGCAAAGUCACAUACACUACUGUGACUGAUAAUCCAUCUUUUGUUUUCCUAUCUUAGAUGCACUAUUUCCAGGAUGUGGAGUAGCAUUUCCGGACCUACAGCAAGACGUUGGAUGAAGACGUAGAUUUCCAGACCUAUUCCAGAAGAAUUUGGAUGAAGGCACAGCCCCUGGAAUCACGCACAUACACAGACACAUUUGCCCAAAUUCUAGAGGUAAUCUCCUUUAGUAUGCCCAGAGGAAGGGCAAUACAGUAGCCAUGGAUUCCCUACAGGUUUCCUCCCCUCUGGAGGUUUUUCCUGUCCUGAGUAUUAGUUACUGUACGCUCUUUGUGAGUGAUGGAGGUUACAAAAAAUCCCCUACACAAACAUUUUUAUAUUUAAUAAAUAAAGUUCCCCUUUUUAAACCAUU